GUCCCUGAGUGACUCUUUGGCUCAAACUGUUCUGGUUUGUGGAAGACACGCCUGUUUUCUUCCCUGGGCUAACUGUGAAGCUCAGAAGAGGAAGAAGGGCCCGGAUGGCAGAUGAACCGCACAGGGCUGUGUGGCCUCAGCCCCGCAGCUGGGGAGCUCAGUGGCCUCCUGGAGGAGAAGCUGACUUUGGAGGACCUGGAACACCAUGGCUGCUGGGAGUUGGGGCUGUGCGGGAGGCUUCUGUCUCUGUGUGGCGUUUGGUCAUAACCACUGGACUUUGGAACAUCCUGCUUAAAACCACAACUUUGGCUGG
Molecule: long non-coding RNA, 313 nt
Organism: Homo sapiens (human)
Lineage: Eukaryota; Metazoa; Chordata; Mammalia; Primates; Hominidae
Source: Ensembl